This 253-nucleotide ribosomal RNA is filed under the name uncultured bacterium. Its description in RNAcentral is "partial 16S ribosomal RNA". It matches the Rfam family "Bacterial small subunit ribosomal RNA", at positions 524 to 776 of the family's 1533-position model. The record is from RNAcentral.
UACGGAGGGUGCAAGCGUUAAUCGGAAUUACUGGGCGUAAAGCGCACGCAGGUGGCUGAGUCAGUCGAUUGUGAAAGCCCUGGGCUUAACCUGGGAAUUGCAGUCGAUACUACUCAGCUAGAGUAUGGGAGAGGGCAGUGGAAUUCCCGGUGUAGCGGUGAAAUGCGUAGAUAUUCGGCGGAACACCAGUGGCGAAGGCGACUCACUGGCCCGAUACUGACGCUGAGGCGCGAAAGCGUGGGGAGCAAACAGG